AUACGUAGGGUGCGAGCGUUGUCCGGAAUUACUGGGCGUAAAGGGCGUGUAGGCGGCCGAUUAAGUCUGGAGUGAAAGUCCUGCAUUCAAUGUGGGAAUUGCUUUGGAGACUGGUUGGCUUGAGUGCGGAAGAGGUAAGUGGAAUUCCCAGUGUAGCGGUGAAAUGCGUAGAGAUUGGGAGGAACACCAGUGGCGAAGGCGACUUACUGGGCCGUAACUGACGCUGAGGCGCGAAAGCGUGGGGAGCGAACAGGAUUAGAUACCCUGGUAGUCCACACCGUAAACGAUGAAUGCUAGGUGUAGGGGGUAUCGACCCCUUCUGUGCCGCAGUCAACACAAUAAGCAUUCCGCCUGGGGAGUACGGCCGCAAGGUUGAAACUCAAAGGAAUUGACGGGG
Molecule: ribosomal RNA, 397 nt
Filed under: uncultured bacterium
Lineage: Bacteria
Description: partial 16S ribosomal RNA
Rfam family: Bacterial small subunit ribosomal RNA
Source: RNAcentral